UCGAUGGGAAACAGGUUAAUAUUCCUGUACUUGGUGUUACUGCGAAGGGGGGACGGAGAAGGCUAUGUUAGCCGGGCGACGGUUGUCCCGGUUUAAGCAUGUAGGCUGGUUAUCCAGGCAAAUCCGGAUAAUCAAGGCUGAGGUGUGAUGACGAGGCACUACGGUGCUGAAGUAACAAAUGCCCUGCUUCCAGGAAAAGCCUCUAAGCAUCAGGUAACAU
Molecule: ribosomal RNA, 220 nt
Filed under: Klebsiella pneumoniae
Lineage: Bacteria; Pseudomonadati; Pseudomonadota; Gammaproteobacteria; Enterobacterales; Enterobacteriaceae
Also listed under: 7 other names
Description: partial 23S ribosomal RNA
Rfam family: Bacterial large subunit ribosomal RNA
Source: RNAcentral